This is a long non-coding RNA of Chinchilla lanigera (long-tailed chinchilla), 1579 nucleotides long. NCBI's taxonomy places the organism in Eukaryota, Metazoa, Chordata, Mammalia, Rodentia, Chinchillidae. The record is from Ensembl.
AUGGCAAAUUUUGCCCAGAGGAAAGUGCUCCUUCCUGAGGCUGUAGGACACUUUGUGAUCAAGGAGCUGAGUGGCCAUACUCACCUGGGAAAGACAGCUAUGGUCCAACUGCUUGGCCGUCACUUCUCUAUCUCUAGACUCUGGACUCUGUGUGCAUCUGUGGCGGGCAGAUGCACAGUUUGUGCUCACAACAGUCCAGUUUCUCAUCCACAGAAACUGCCUGGAGUCUGCAGACAAGGACCACUGCCUUUUGAGGACACUGAGAUUGUGCUCCGUGGAUUUACUACUCUCAAGUCAAGAAGUGAGUACCCGAACUCCCUGAGAGACCAACUUUGCCAGCCCCGUUGCUGGCUCCUGAGGUGGUGCCCUCCUUGCCCCCACCACAAUGUCACCUGCCACAUCACUCUCAAAGACUGCAAUGAAAAUCAGCUGCAACCUGAUCUGACAAUGACCCAUCUGACUGUCCUGGUCCCAUAUUCCUGCUAUGGACAACUCUGAUGGGAGCAAAGUAACAGAUAAAGACUCUUGAUGGACUAGGGGAGCACCUUUGUAAUUACAUUAUGCACCCCCAAGUGGACUCUAUUUACCUUUGGUGAGCUGAGCUGGCCACACUGCAUCUCCUGUGUGACCAGCAAGAUGUUGUAUUCAUAAUCCCCAUAUGUAAGUUUUAGAACCCCCACCAGUGGCAAGACAAAGCCAAUCCUGAGACUCACCCUUUCCCCAUAUGUGAGGUCCAGAAAAGGCAAUUAACAGGGACCACGCUGACACAGACUUAAUUACUUGGGGUCUCUACAUGUGCCCAAAGACAGAGGAAGAUGUGGAAGGGAAAGGGAAGUGUACUGUCUCCACUGGAGUUGCAAAACCAUAGGGCUAUGGCAAAGGCAAUAUGAUGGACAUACAGUCCAAGUUAGUCCCAGAUCAUCAGUCCAUGUUAGUACUAAUGAUCCAAAUCCCCUAACUCAUUGGUGGGUCCAGGAUGAGAAGUACAUCCAGGUAUACAGAGAAAAGAGGGCUAACUACAGUAUAGGCUAUUCAUCUGGGUUCUGUUUACAAGUCAGGAUAAUUCUAAAGGAUAUUAAGGGAGUGCUUCAGAGCAUAUUAAGGGAGAUAUUAAGGGAGCUGCUGGACUCGUGGGUUUGAGUCUGUGCUCGGCCCACACCGCCAUGGUUCCCAGCGUGGAGAGAGCCAGGUAUUUCCCAGCUACUCCCUGAGGGCAGAACACGUGAAUCAGGACCCCGCCGACAUUACAGACGGAGUCCUGGCUUCCCUGCUCCCGUGGCAGAGAGGAGGGUUUUACUCAGAAGCCCCAGGGACUUCUCUGGCUAUGGGUGGGGCAAACAGACUCUCAGCCCCUUGCGAGCUGCACCGAGAGAGCGAGUGUUCCGGGAGCUGCUGGACUCGUGGGUUUGAGUCUAUGCUUGCCCCACACUGCCACGGUUCCCAGCUGAAACACGCGGAGAGAGCCAUGUAUUUCCCAGCUACUCCCUGAGGGCAGAACACGUGAAUCAGGACCCCGCCAACAUUACAGAUGGAGCCCUGGCCUCCCUGCUCCCACGGCAGAGAGGAGGUGUUCACUCAG